GAAUCUCCAGGUGUGUUGAAGUGGAGUUCGGUAGUUACUGGUGGUUCUGGUGUGACGUCAUCGGUGAUUAACCUGAAAACUAACAACCUGUCUCCUCUGGAUCAGACACACACACACAGCUCUGACACACCUGCGGACAGGUGUUCACCUUCACUGCUGUUUGGAGGACAGGUGUCAGCUCAGAGCAGCCCCAGCUCAUGUAAGACUCGGGCCUGGAUCAGCUCCCGACAGGACCAGGACCAGGACCAGGACCAGGACCAGGACCACCCUCAGCACCUCCUCCACCCCCAGCACAUGACUUGAAAUCAUUACCUUCCCAAACACCUUGUGGUCAUUUUAUUCUCCAAACACUCAGAAUUUCAGCUCUCAAACGCUCGGAGGUGAUUCUAGAGUACAAACGCCUCACGGUCACUGUAGUUCCCAGAUGUUUCACAGUCGUCUCACUUCCUGAAUGUCCGGGGUUCAUUUUACUCACCAAACAUCUCGCAAUCAUUAUAAACAUGAUUAUUCUAGUCACAGGAGGUCUCACAAUCAUUCUAACACCCUGCGAUCACCCAGACCCUGCGCUACACGCCCCUUCCAGUUCCUGGACACCAUCCGUCAUCUGGUUCAUCACCAUCUUCGCCUUUGUCGCUGUAACUUUCACACAAACAACGGCGUUUCAUCAGCUGGUCAGUCGAUCGUUAAUUAAUGGAGUGAACUUUACAAACGUUCUGCGUUAGCGGCCGGCUAAUUACAGAACACGCCUGUCGUUUCACUGUAGAUUUAUUAUCAUGUUCAGCAUGUUGAAGUGACAUUUUAAGGAUUUGGGAACUUUAUUAACAAAACAAAGUAAAAAAUUAUUAAAAUGACUUUUUGGGGAAAAAUAUUGUGUUCUUCUUGAGAAUUAAAAAAAAAAAAAA
Acanthopagrus latus (yellowfin seabream) is the source of this 902-nucleotide long non-coding RNA. RefSeq lists it as uncharacterized. NCBI's taxonomy places the organism in Eukaryota, Metazoa, Chordata, Actinopteri, Spariformes, Sparidae. The transcript has 3 exons. The record is from RefSeq and is a predicted model, not a curated record.